GUAAAUAAUAAAGGGCGUAUGGUGGAUGCCUAGGCUCUCAGAGGCGAUGAAGGACGUGAUAAGCUGCGAAAAGCUCCGUUUAGGUGCAAAUAACCUUUGAUGCGGAGAUCUCCGAAUGGGAUAACCCAAUAUGUUGAAGACAUAUUAUACCGUAAGGUAGGCAAACGCAGGGAACUGAAACAUCUAAGUACCUGCAGGAGAAGAAAACAAACGUGAUUCCCCCAGUAGCGGCGAGCGACCGGGGAUAAGCCCAAACCGUUAUUGUUUCGGCAGUAGCGGGGUAGUAGGACUGCGACAUUGAUGAAAUAAAUGAAAUGGAACACCUUGGAAAAUGUGAUCACAGAGGGUGAUAAUCCCGUACAUGUAAGUUUAUGAAUCAUAGCAGACUCCUGAGUAAGUCGGGACACGUGUAAUCCUGACCGAAUCCGCCGGGACCAUCCGGCAAGGCUAAAUACUCCUGAGAGACCGAUAGUGAACCAGUACCGUGAGGGAAAGGUGAAAAGCACUUCGAACAGAAGAGUGAAAUAGUCCCUGAACCCAUACGCCUACAAGCUGUCGGAGCCGCUUCGUGCGGUGACGGCGUGCCUUUUGCAUAAUGAGCCUACGAGUUACUCAUCACCAGCGAGGUUAAGUACUUCAGGUACGUAAGCCGAAGCGAAAGCGAGUCUGAAUAGGGCGUCAAGUUGGUGGUGGUAGACGCGAAACCUUAGUGAUCUACCCAUGGGCAGGGUGAAGGUUUGGUAACACAAACUGGAGGCCCGAACCGGUAAACGUUGAAAAGUUUUCGGAUGACCUGUGGGUAGGGGUGAAAGGCCAAUCAAACUGGGAAAUAGCUCGUACUCUCCGAAAUGCAUUUAGGUGCAGCCUCUGUUGUUUUGUUCUAGAGGUAGAGCUACUGAUUGGAUGCGAGGGCUUCACCGCCUAUCAAAUCCGGCCAAACUCCGAAUGCUAGAACAUGAAGACAGGGAGUGAGCCAGCGGGUGCUAAGGUCCGUUGACGAAAGAGGGAGAACUCAGACCAUCAGCUAAGGUCCCCAAUUAUAUGCUAAGUUGGAAUUAAAACGGGGUGGGACUGCUUAGACAGCUAGGAUGUUGGCUUGGAAGCAGCCAUUCAUUUAAAGAGUGCGUAACAGCUCACUAGUCGAGCGGUCCUGCAUGGAUAAUACGCGGGCAUAAGCAUAUAACCGAAGCUAUGGGAUUGUAGAUGAUACAAUCGGUAGGAGAGCAUUCCAUUCAGCAUAGAAGCAGUACCGUGAGGUAUUGUGGAGCGGAUGGAAAAGCAAAUGUAGGCAUAAGUAACGAUAAUGCGGGUGAGAACCCCGCACGCCGAAAGAUCAAGGAUUCCCCGGCAAUGUCAAUCAUCCGGGGGUAAGUCGGAUCCUAAGGGUAAGCCGAGUGGCGAUCCCGAUGGCAAACAGGUUAAUAUUCCUGUACUGAUCAUAACUGCGAUGCAGCGACGCAGAGGUGACACUGCUGCGUACUGACGGAAUAGUACGUUGAAACCCGUAUUCUUUGAUACCGGUAGUGAAGCACGCCGGUAGAGAUGAAAGGUGAUAGUACCGCAAUGCUUCGGUUGCGCGGAUAACGCAGGUAAGCUGACUGCCAAGAAAACCUGCUAAGCUUCAGGUAAUGAUCAUCCGUACUGUAAACGGACACACGUGAUCAGGUAGAAAAUACUAAGGCGCUCGAGAGAUUCAUGGUUAAGGAACUAGGCAAAAUGGUCCUGUAACUUCGGGAUAAAGGACGCUCUUGUGAAAGAGCCGCAGAUAAUAGGCCCAGGCGACUGUUUACCAAAAACACAUGGCUAUGCUAAUUCGCAAGAAGAUGUAUAUGGCCUGACACCUGCCCGGUGCCGGAAGGUUAAGAGGAGAGCUCAGAGGUAACUCGAAGGUUUGAAUUGAAGCCCCGGUAAACGGCGGCCGUAACUAUAACGGUCCUAAGGUAGCGAAAUUCCUUGUCGGGUAAGUUCCGACCUGCACGAAUGGUGUAACGAUCUGGGUACUGUCUCAACAGUACCCAGAUCGUUACACCAUUCGUGCAGGUCGGAACUUACCCGACAAGGAAUUUCGCUACCUUAGGACCGUUAUAGUUA
RNAcentral lists this ribosomal RNA (2091 nucleotides) under metagenome. Its description in RNAcentral is "bacterial LSU rRNA". It matches the Rfam family "Bacterial large subunit ribosomal RNA". The record is from RNAcentral.